GGUCCUUGAAGAACAGUUGUAGUGGUCAGUGGCCAUCGCUCUAUUUUUAUGUUUGUGAUAAGUGGGCAGAGUGAGGACCUAGAGUGUCAGCCAGAAGAGGUGAUAGGUAGAGCUUUCUACACUUGUCCCCUGAUUUUAUGGCUAAAGUGAUGAUCGCCAAAGCCAAACAACACUUUGAGCUUUAGGUGCCACUGGGAUCAUGGACUGAAUUUUAGGGCGGAGAUGGGAAGAGCA
This is a non-coding RNA of Vicugna pacos (alpaca), 234 nucleotides long. Lineage: Eukaryota; Metazoa; Chordata; Mammalia; Artiodactyla; Camelidae. The record is from RefSeq and is a predicted model, not a curated record.